Molecule: long non-coding RNA, 1007 nt
Organism: Oncorhynchus tshawytscha (Chinook salmon)
Lineage: Eukaryota; Metazoa; Chordata; Actinopteri; Salmoniformes; Salmonidae
Source: Ensembl
GCCGUGGCCGAGCUGAGGAGCGUGACACCGUGGCCGAGCUGAGGAGCGUGACGUCGUGGCCGAGCUGAGGAGUGUGACGCCGUGGCCGAGCUGAGGAGUGUGACGUCGUGGCCGAGCUGAGGAGUGUGACGCCGUGGCCGAGCUGAGGAGUGUGACGUUGUGGCUGAAGAAGUUGGACGUUGUGGCCGAGCUGAGGAGCGUGACGUCGUGGCUGAGGAGCGUGACGCCGUGGCCGAGCUGAGGAGCGUGACUUCGUGGCUGAGGAGCGUGACGCCGUGGCCGAGCUGAGGAGCGUGACAUCGUGGCCGAGCUGAGGAGCGUGACGUCGUGGCCGAGCUGAGGAGCGUGACGCCGUGGCUGAGGAGCGUGACGUCGUGGCCGAGCUGAGGAGCGUGACGCCGUGGCUGAGGAGCAUGACUUCGUGGCUGAGCUGAGGAGCGUGACGUCGUGGCCGAGCUGAGGAGCGUGAUGCCGUGGCUGAGGAGCGUGACUUCGUGGCUGAGCUGAGUAGCGUGACGUCGUGGCCGAGCUGAGGAGCGUGACGUCGUGGCCGAGCUGAGGAGCGUGACGUCGUGGCCGAGCUGAGGAGCGUGACGUCGUGGCCGAGCUGAGGAGCGUGACUUCGUGGCUGAGCUGAGGAGCGUGACGUCGUGGCUGAGCUGAGGAGCGUGACGUCGUGGCCGAGCUGAGGAGCGUGACUUCGUGGCUGAUCUGAGGAGCGUGACGUCGUGGCUGAGCUGAGGAGCGUGACGUCGUGGCUGAGGAGCGUGAGGUCGUGGCCGAGCUGAGGAGCGUGACGUCGUGGCCGAGCUGAGGAGCGUGACGUCGUGGCCGAGCUGAGGAGCGUGACGCAGCAUGGUAAAACAUUGCAGUAUAUAUUGUGUUCUUCUAUUGCACAUGCACAGGGUUUGUUGUUUGCAGUAACUUCUUUGUUUUUGUAAUAUCACAAACAGACGUUGCUGUUUCACCAUUAAGGAUGCCAGCUUAAUCUUAAUACUGUUUAUGUA